AUACGUAGGGUGCAGGCGUUAAUCGGAAUUACUGGGCGUAAAGCGUGCGCAGGCGGUUUGCUAAGACAGGUGUGAAAUCCCCGGGGCUUAACCUGGGAAUUGCGCUUGUAACUGGCAGGCUAGAGUGUAGCAGAGGGGGGUAGAAUUCCACGUGUAGCAGUGAAAUGCGUAGAUAUGUGGAGGAAUACCGAUGGCGAAGGCAGCCCCCUGGGUUAACACUGACGCUCAUGCACGAAAGCGUGGGGAGC
This 248-nucleotide ribosomal RNA is filed under the name uncultured bacterium. Its description in RNAcentral is "partial 16S ribosomal RNA". It matches the Rfam family "Bacterial small subunit ribosomal RNA", at positions 523 to 769 of the family's 1533-position model. The record is from RNAcentral.